UAUGUUGUAGACUAAUAGGCAGGUCGUGAAUUUUUGAUAUUUAUUAUUGAGUGUUCGAAUCACUCCAACAUAA
This 73-nucleotide transfer RNA is filed under the name Parmotrema ultralucens. Its description in RNAcentral is "tRNA-Gln". It matches the Rfam family "tRNA". From Rfam's summary of the family: Transfer RNA (tRNA) molecules are approximately 80 nucleotides in length. Their secondary structure includes four short double-helical elements and three loops (D, anti-codon, and T loops). Further hydrogen bonds mediate the characteristic L-shaped molecular structure. tRNAs have two regions of fundamental functional importance: the anti-codon, which is responsible for specific mRNA codon recognition, and the 3' end, to which the tRNAs corresponding amino acid is attached (by aminoacyl-tRNA synthetases). tRNAs cope with the degeneracy of the genetic code in two manners: having more than one tRNA (with a specific anti-codon) for a particular amino acid; and 'wobble' base-pairing, i.e. permitting non-standard base-pairing at the 3rd anti-codon position. Lineage: Eukaryota; Fungi; Ascomycota; Lecanoromycetes; Lecanorales; Parmeliaceae. The record is from RNAcentral.